This 253-nucleotide ribosomal RNA is filed under the name uncultured bacterium. RNAcentral's name for it is "partial 16S ribosomal RNA". It matches the Rfam family "Bacterial small subunit ribosomal RNA", at positions 524 to 776 of the family's 1533-position model. The record is from RNAcentral.
UACGUAGGGUGCAAGCGUUGUCCGGAAUCAUUGGGCGUAAAGCGCGUGUAGGCGGUCCGGUAAGUCCGCUGUGAAAGUCGGGGGCUCAACCCUCGGAUGCCGGUGGAUACUGUCGGGCUUGAGUACGGAAGAGGCGAGUGGAAUUCCUGGUGUAGCGGUGAAAUGCGCAGAUAUCAGGAGGAACACCAAUUGCGCAGGCAGCUCGCUGGGACGUUACUGACGCUGAGACGCGAAAGCGUGGGGAGCAAACAGG